GAACCCACAACCCUGGCAUGUACCCUGACUGGGAAUCAAACCAGUGUCCUCUUGAUGCAUGGGUCAACACUCAAUCAAUAAGCCACAUCAGCCAGGCCUAAAUCUCUUCAUUUUAAUGUCUUUUUCUAUCUGAGUAGGCUGAGAAUUUCAAAGUCAUCAAGUCCUAUUUUCUUUAUAUUUAUUUAACAAUUCUCUCAAUUUAUCUGUCUCCUCCCACAUCUAUAUAUAUAUAAAAGCCUAAGCAAUGGUUACAACCAGAAUGACCAGUCGCUAUGAUGCACUCUGACCACCAGGGGGCAGAUGCUUAACACAGGAGCUGCCCCCUGGUGAUCAGUGCCCUCCCACAGCCAACCUCCUGUGGUCUCUCCCCCUGGCCGGUCAACCUACUGCUGCCCUCUCCCUGGCUGGCCAACCUCCCAUGGUCCCUCAUCCCUGCCAGCCACUGCCCCCCUCACCCCUCUUGUGCCCUGAUCGGGGGGGUUGGCUGGCCAACCUCUCGGGUUUCCUUCCCCCAGCCAGCUGGCCCCCCAUAGCUGCACCCUCCACCGUUUGCUUAGAAAUCUCUUUAGCUAAAUAUAGUAAGUCUAGCACUUAAAAAUUCUGCUUUUCACCUUACCACAGGACACACUUCAGCUAAGAUUUUGUAGUAUAUAACUCUAAUCUCUUUUUCUUUAGUUUCUAACAGUAUGAUCCUCAUUUUCUUCCGAGCCUUCACUGGCAGCACCUUUAAUGUCCUUAUUUCUCACGACGAUUUAGAUAUUUUCCAUGACAGCUUACCAUUCUCUACCAUGCUCCUUACCUCCUUUGAACCCUCACUAGAAUUCAUACAUAUAUUCAAUAACAGUGUUCAAGGAAAUCUUGACUUUUCCUGUCAUUCUCCUAAAUUUUCUCUCAUCCUCUAGUCACUGCCCGAUUUCAGAGUCAUUCUGUACUUUCAGGUGUUUGCUGUGGCAACACCCCACUUUCAGGGAUAUAGAAAUGUGUUCUGUGCCAACUCACUGCCAGUUGACUUGAUAUGCCAAUAGGAGAUUUGAAAUUAACCUUUCUCAGGGGGUUCUGGGAAUUUAUUUACUUUUAAUAUGUUUUUAUUGAUUGUUAGAGAGAGAAAAAGGGAGAGAAAGAUAGAAACAUUAAGGAGAGAGAAAUGUCAUUGAUCAGCUGCCUCCUGCACACCCCCACAGGGGAUCUCCCACAACCCGGCAUGUGCCCUGACCAGGAAGUGAAUGUGAACUCCUGGCUCAUAGGUCAACACUCAACCACUGGGCCACACUGGCCGAGUGGGGGCUCUGGUUAUUUUAAGGCAGUGAAUUUACUUAUAUGAGGGGUUCUAAUACCGGAGUGCUAUCAGAAAUUCCACAGAUAAAAUGUUGAUCCCACCACCACAAAGAAAAUUUUUUCUGGAUGUCAUAACAUAGAGUAAGAAGAUUAUUCCUGUAUCUCCAAGUUGUUUUCAAUGAGGAAAGAAACAACUUGGAGAAUAUAUAAAUAAUAGUUCAAAGAGCUCUUGUAGUUCAAAAAGAUGUCCAGGGAUACCACUCUGUCAGGAACAAAAUCAUCUUUUUAAGGAAAAAAUCUAUUGAAACAAAUGAGCUUUUAAAUAAAGACAUUUUCCUGUUUUGGAUUACCAAAACCAGGGGGAAAUUAACCAAUUUCUUUUUAUCAGUUAUGUAGAGUGCCUAGCACAUAUAAAAUAGCUGCCAGUUUUGUAUAUAAUAGUCUUCCAAAAUAUAGAGAUUUGCAUUAGGGGAGAGAAUUAAACAUCCAGAAGGGAUGAACAAGACUUUUACAUGAACUAUAUAGUAUUUUGCUUCAUUUAGAGUCAUUUUCCUGAUUUUUUAUUUAUUACAGUCAUUGUAACUUUUAAAAUCUAUAAUCAUCUCAAAGGAGAAUAUGUCACAAUGAGCAGUUAGACAACCAUGUAUGAAGUCAGUUGUUUUGCAUGAUGUGUGUAAUCAAAAAGUUUUUAAGUGUCUGCUUACCAAUAAAGAAUGUUCUCACUGAAACUCACUGAAAAA
Pipistrellus kuhlii (Kuhl's pipistrelle) is the source of this 2015-nucleotide long non-coding RNA. RefSeq lists it as uncharacterized. NCBI's taxonomy places the organism in Eukaryota, Metazoa, Chordata, Mammalia, Chiroptera, Vespertilionidae. The record is from RefSeq and is a predicted model, not a curated record. The transcript is spliced from 2 exons.